CCUACGGGAGGCAGCAGUGAGGAAUAUUGGUCAAUGGGCGCGAGCCUGAACCAGCCAAGUAGCGUGAAGGAUGACUGCCCUAUGGGUUGUAAACUUCUUUUAUCUGGGAAUAAAAUGUGCCACGUGUGGCAUUUUGUAUGUACCAUAUGAAUAAGGAUCGGCUAACUCCGUGCCAGCAGCCGCGGUAAUACGGAGGAUCCGAGCGUUAUCCGGAUUUAUUGGGUUUAAAGGGAGCGUAGGUGGAUUGUUAAGUCAGUUGUGAAAGUUUGCGGCUCAACCGUAAAAUUGCAGUUGAUACUGGCAGUCUUGAGUACAGUUGAGGUAGGCGGAAUACGUGGUGUAGCGGUGAAAUGCUUAGAUAUCACGAAGAACUCCGAUUGUGAAGGCAGCUUACUAGACUGCAACUGACACUGAUGCUCGAAAGUGUGGGUAUCAAACAGGAUUAGAUACCCCUGUAGUC
This 460-nucleotide ribosomal RNA is filed under the name uncultured bacterium. RNAcentral describes it as "partial 16S ribosomal RNA". It matches the Rfam family "Bacterial small subunit ribosomal RNA", at positions 338 to 795 of the family's 1533-position model. The record is from RNAcentral.